UACGGGGGGGGUAAGCGUUGUUCGGAAUUACUGGGCGUAAAGGGCGCGUAGGCGGCCUUCUAAGUCGAACGUGAAAUCCCCGGGCUCAACCCGGGAACUGCGUCCGAUACUGGGAGGCUUGAAUCCGGGAGAGGGAUGUGGAAUUCCAGGUGUAGCGGUGAAAUGCGUAGAUAUCUGGAGGAACACCGGUGGCGAAGGCGGCAUCCUGGACCGGUAUUGACGCUGAGGCGCGAAAGCUAGGGGAGCAAACGGG
RNAcentral lists this ribosomal RNA (253 nucleotides) under uncultured bacterium. RNAcentral describes it as "partial 16S ribosomal RNA". It matches the Rfam family "Bacterial small subunit ribosomal RNA", at positions 524 to 776 of the family's 1533-position model. The record is from RNAcentral.